This 759-nucleotide ribosomal RNA is filed under the name uncultured Enterobacteriaceae bacterium. RNAcentral's name for it is "bacterial SSU rRNA". It matches the Rfam family "Bacterial small subunit ribosomal RNA", at positions 28 to 776 of the family's 1533-position model. Lineage: Bacteria; Pseudomonadati; Pseudomonadota; Gammaproteobacteria; Enterobacterales; Enterobacteriaceae. The record is from RNAcentral.
AUUGAACGCUGGCGGCAGGCCUAACACAUGCAAGUCGAGCGGUAACACAGGAGAGCUUGCUCUCUGGGUGACGAGCGGCGGACGGGUGAGUAAUGUCUGGGAAACUGCCUGAUGGAGGGGGAUAACUACUGGAAACGGUAGCUAAUACCGCAUGACCUCGCAAGAGCAAAGUGGGGGACCUUCGGGCCUCACGCCAUCGGAUGUGCCCAGAUGGGAUUAGCUAGUAGGUGAGGUAAUGGCUCACCUAGGCGACGAUCCCUAGCUGGUCUGAGAGGAUGACCAGCCACACUGGAACUGAGACACGGUCCAGACUCCUACGGGAGGCAGCAGUGGGGAAUAUUGCACAAUGGGCGCAAGCCUGAUGCAGCCAUGCCGCGUGUGUGAAGAAGGCCUUCGGGUUGUAAAGCACUUUCAGCGAGGAGGAAGGCCAGUGACUUAAUAAGUGGCUGGAUUGACGUUACUCGCAGAAGAAGCACCGGCUAACUCCGUGCCAGCAGCCGCGGUAAUACGGAGGGUGCAAGCGUUAAUCGGAAUUACUGGGCGUAAAGCGCACGCAGGCGGUUUGUUAAGUCAGAUGUGAAAUCCCCGAGCUUAACUUGGGAACUGCAUUUGAAACUGGCAAGCUAGAGUCUUGUAGAGGGGGGUAGAAUUCCAGGUGUAGCGGUGAAAUGCGUAGAGAUCUGGAGGAAUACCGGUGGCGAAGGCGGCCCCCUGGACAAAGACUGACGCUCAGGUGCGAAAGCGUGGGGAGCAAACAGG